This 636-nucleotide ribosomal RNA is filed under the name uncultured archaeon. Its description in RNAcentral is "bacterial SSU rRNA". It matches the Rfam family "Archaeal small subunit ribosomal RNA", at positions 285 to 922 of the family's 1478-position model. The record is from RNAcentral.
GAAGCCCGGAGAUGGGUACUGAGACAAGGACCCAGGCCCUAUGGGGCGCAGCAGGCGAGAAAACUUUGCAAUGUGCGAAAGCACGACAAGGUUAAUCCGAGUGAUUUCUGCUAAAGGAAUCUUUUGUUAGUUCUAAAAAUACUAGUGAAUAAGGGGUGGGCAAGUUCUGGUGUCAGCCGCCGCGGUAAAACCAGCACCUCAAGUGGUCAGGAGGAUUAUUGGGCCUAAAGCAUCCGUAGCCUGUUCUAUAAGUUUGCGGUUAAAUCUAUACGCUCAACGUAUAGGCUGCCGUAAAUACUGUAGAACUAGGGAGUGGGAGAGGUAGACGGUACUCGAUAGGAAGGGGUAAAAUCCUUUGAUCUAUUGAUGACCACCUGUGGCGAAGGCGGUCUACCAGAACACGUUCGACGGUGAGGGAUGAAAGCUGGGGGAGCAAACCGGAUUAGAUACCCGGGUAGUCCCAGCUGUAAACGAUGCAGACUCGAUGAUGCAAUGGCAUAGAGCUAUUGCAGUAUCGCAGGGAAGCCGUUAAGUCUGCCGCCUGGGAAGUACGUACGCAAGUAUGAAACUUAAAGGAAUUGGCGGGGGAGCACCACAAGGGGUGAAGCCUGCGGUUCAAUUNGAGUCAACGCCGGA